Molecule: ribosomal RNA, 253 nt
Filed under: uncultured bacterium
Lineage: Bacteria
Description: partial 16S ribosomal RNA
Rfam family: Bacterial small subunit ribosomal RNA
Source: RNAcentral
UACGAAGGGGGCUAGCGUUGCUCGGAAUCACUGGGCGUAAAGGGCGCGUAGGCGGCCUUCUAAGUCGGACGUGAAAUCCCUCGGCUUAACCGAGGAACUGCGUCCGAUACUGAAAGGCUUGAAUCCGGGAGAGGGAUGUGGAAUUCCAGGUGUAGCGGUGAAAUGCGUAGAUAUUCGGAGGAACACCAGUGGCGAAGGCGGCUCACUGGUCCGGUACUGACGCUGAGGUGCGAAAGCGUGGGGAGCAAACAGG